AUGGUACUUGGGUCUUUGGACUUGUCGUUCUCGGUUCUUGCGACGGUAGUCGUACUAGUCUGCGGUAGUGGAACUUGUCGUUUCGGUGUGAAGUCAUUCGGGCGUCGGUCUUGCCGGUGGAGUACUUGGCGAACCUGCAUAGUCGAACUUGGCGUAACCAGUGGUACUUGGCAAUUUUGUGUAGACGGACUUGCGGUGGUCUUGGACCGGGCGAACUUGGCGUAUCCGACAGCGAAAAGCACACAACCCGCAGUCGGUGGAGUUUGCGGGCACGCAGAGGAAGGUCGGCGAGGACUUGGCGCGGUAGAGCGCUACAACAGAGCCAGCAGGGUCCUCGGGCCACGCGAAGGAGAGGAGCGGCACAAGGCGGCGCUGGGUGACUGCGGGCAUGCCCCAACGACCUCGGUCGCCGGCAGCAGAGGGGCAAGGCGAGCGGUGGCCUCCUGCGGACGCGGACGGCGGCGCUGCAGAAGGACAGCCGCAGCAGGGCGUGAAGGAGCUUGGGGAGGUCGAUCUGGUCGCCUCCGAGGCUUGGGCGCGCCAGAGCUUCGAGCUAUAGGCGGCGGACGACAUCCAUGGCUGCUCCCGGAGCUUCGCCAGAGGCGCGCGGACAAGGCAGGGCACGGGAGCUAG
Molecule: ribosomal RNA, 633 nt
Filed under: Triticum aestivum (bread wheat)
Lineage: Eukaryota; Viridiplantae; Streptophyta; Magnoliopsida; Poales; Poaceae
Description: partial small subunit ribosomal RNA
Source: RNAcentral